This is a long non-coding RNA of Olea europaea var. sylvestris, 503 nucleotides long. RefSeq lists it as uncharacterized. The transcript is spliced from 4 exons. The record is from RefSeq and is a predicted model, not a curated record. Lineage: Eukaryota; Viridiplantae; Streptophyta; Magnoliopsida; Lamiales; Oleaceae.
UUUUCAAUUUUGUCGGGCGCUUGCUCUCUAUAUAUUUGGGAGUUACCAAACUGUACCGCAAUUGGGCUAGGGUAACCUUUUCAUUGUUCAAGCGAUUUCGUGAUCACAGCGAAGCGAAACCCUAACCCUAGAUUUCAGACAUGUCUUCAAAGCAAGGUGGGAAAGCGAAGCCUUUGAAGGCGCCAAAGAGUGAGAAGAAAGAGUACGACGAGAAUGACAAGGCUUUUAUCCAGAAGAAGAAGGAAGAGGAGAAGGCUCUGAAGGAGCUUAAAUCGAAGGCUCAAAAGGGAGCACUUGGAGGUGCAGGGCUAAAGAAAAGUGGAAAGAAAUGAAAAUUUAUGAAGAACUACUAGCCCUUUGUUGUCAUUGUAAUGCGAUCUUUCUAUUUGGUUUAAAUCAAUUCAGCACUACGUUCUUGCUUAGAUUAACUAUCGAGCAACUUCUUAUGAAGUUUGUGUAAAACUAUUUGUUUGGGCCAAUAAACGUGCGUGGUUUUGUAUAUC